This 161-nucleotide small RNA is filed under the name Chrysemys picta bellii (western painted turtle). RNAcentral describes it as "TUC338 (ENSCPBG00000027310.1)". Lineage: Eukaryota; Metazoa; Chordata; Testudines; Emydidae. The record is from RNAcentral.
UUGGGACCCCUGGAGGCUGAAGUCCUCAGUACACAGAAUACAUACGACAUGGGCAGCAGUUGUGCACGCUUUUCCUCUGCACUGCCCAGCCAAUGUGCCUCAACCUUGGUUUGUAGUGAGAGGGGAGUUAUCUUCCAAGGGUCAGACAGACCUAGGCUUCU